GAGGCCUUCUGGGGAGGGAGGGGCUGGGGGGAGAGCGUCCUGUUCGCCCACUGACUGGCCCCUCUGUCCAGGUUUCCUGUGUGGUCAAGCCUUGAAGGUCAGUGUGAGGUUCCUCUGGCAGCUGGAAACACGGUCGGCUUUCAGGCCCUGAGGAAUUCACGCGAGUGACGUCAGGGCCGCCUGCCUGGGACGGAGUGGGUGUUUGUUUAUUGAGGCGUGUGCCGUCCGCCUUGCUGUGUUAGGAGUGACGGUUUAUAGGGGGUCUCAGCCAAGAACUCAGUAGGGUAGCGGGAAAGUUAUUUUUCCUCCCCUGCAUGACAACAGCUCCGGGGACCUCGAGGCCCCUCCCCACCCAGUGGCUGGCCGGUGGCUGCACGUGAGUGCGCUCUGCGGGCUGUACCCUGGCCCGGCGUCUCAGCCCAGGAUUUGGGAGCAUUAGUGUCGGUGGAAAUUAAAGCCAGGGUGGGAGCCUCAGGCCAGAAGGCUGAGGCCCUGGACAGCGUCCCAGAGCAGGGGGAAGAGAAAGCCCUGCAGCGUCUCAGAGGAGGAGGAGGAAUAGUAAGUCCCAGGUGGCCUGGGGACAAGAGCCGGCUGCUGCCCUGCCCGGGGCCGCCGUGUAGGGGAGAGAGAACAGGAACGAGCCUCUUAGGCUUGAUCCCUCUGUCCUUGUCCAGACUUCUCCCCAGCGGCUUGGCCUUGGCUCUGUACACCCCAUCUUUCCCAGGAGCUUCAGCGAGGAAACUGUCAGAGAACAACGUUCUUCUGGGAUGGGACCCCCCGGGGGGGGGGGGGGGGAGUAGCAGGACCUGGCAGGGAGCAGGGGUCCAGGGAGCAAGGCUUAAUGACCAUGUCAUCAUUAAGAAGACAGCAAUAGCUUCGUCCUAGGUUGGUCGUCCUAGGUUGGUCGCAGUUCCAGUUCGGCCACCUAGUAGCCAUGUGAUCUUAAAGGAGAACAUGAGUUAACCUGACUGAAUUUCAGUUUCAUCAUCUGCAAAAUGGGAAUAAUAAUUGCCUUGCAAAAUUAUGCAGAUUUAGAAAUGAGGAAUGUAGAAUGCACAGUCAAUAGUAAAUGCUGUUGCUACUGAAACCAGACUCGCCUUGAAACCAAGUACCUCUGCCAAGCUUAUGAUUAACCUCUCUGCAAAACUUGAUUCCCUGUCUUGUCCCGCACUCUUCCCCUCUGGGUUGAGGAAUAUCAAAGGGGGGACUGAAACCUAGCGGACUGGCAAGGACCUCCCAGGUACAAAAAGCCUUUCAGGGUCCCCCACUUCUUGUUUGUAGAAAAAGGCUUUAGUCUCUGAGGCCUGGGUUCCAAAGAGCAGAUGCAAGCAGUUUGCUAAUUAGGGAAGUGAGAGAGAGCAGAAACAAGGAAAAAGCAGUUAAGAAGGAACAGUUAAGUGAUAAAACAGAGUCUUCGGGCUAUGUGUAACAAUCUGACACAUCUCUCUGAGUUGUUCAGCAGGAACUAAGGCCCCUGUGCAGGGGGAGGUCAAGCCGGGCACAAGCGCGCACAUCCCAGACAGGUUGGAACCCGAAGGUUGGUGAAGAUUCCUGAAUUAUUGAAAGGAUGAAAAUGCAACCUGACCCUCCCAGAACCCAGGAAGUUAAUAAGAAGCUCUAAAUGCCCUCACCCUGUUCCCUAUAGGUAAAAGAUCAUACUUUUUGCUGUUUUAAGGCUUGCUUUCUGUACAUUCUCAGGCCGCCCCUGAGAAUGUGCCUCUAUGCAUAAAACUUACUAACUGCUUGUUUGGCUUCUGUAAAGCUGCUUGCAUAAGAUAAAAAGAGGAGAAGUUAAUCGCCUAAACAACCCCAGUAAGAUCGGGUGCGCCACAAAAUGUUGAAAAUCCUGAUAAAUAUAUCUUGGUGACAAUAUGUCUCCCCCACCCAGGGACAGGCACAAACACGUAACUCCAGAACAACUUAAAAUUAAUUCGUCCACAAAGCGUGGGCUCUCGAAGUUUUGAAUUGACUGGUUUGUGAUAUUUUAAAAUGAUUAGUUUGUAAAAGCGCGGGCUUCGUUGUGAACCCCAUAAAAGCUGUCCCGACUCCACACUCGGGACCGCAGUCCUCUACCCCUGCGUGGCGUAUGACUGUGGGCCCCAGCGCGCUUGGAAUAAAAAUCCUCUUGCUGUUUGCA
Molecule: long non-coding RNA, 2137 nt
Organism: Phacochoerus africanus (Common warthog)
Lineage: Eukaryota; Metazoa; Chordata; Mammalia; Artiodactyla; Suidae
Exons: 2
Source: RefSeq, a predicted model, not a curated record